GGGAGCGUAGUACAAUCUGGCUAGUAUAGGGGCCUCCAGAGCCCUAGAUCUGAGUUCAAAUCUCAGCGCUCCCA
Molecule: transfer RNA, 74 nt
Filed under: Candidatus Woesearchaeota archaeon
Lineage: Archaea; Nanobdellati; Candidatus Woesearchaeota
Description: tRNA-Trp
Rfam family: tRNA
About the family: Transfer RNA (tRNA) molecules are approximately 80 nucleotides in length.
Source: RNAcentral